This is a long non-coding RNA of Oxyura jamaicensis (ruddy duck), 1638 nucleotides long. RefSeq lists it as uncharacterized. NCBI's taxonomy places the organism in Eukaryota, Metazoa, Chordata, Aves, Anseriformes, Anatidae. The record is from RefSeq and is a predicted model, not a curated record. The transcript is spliced from 2 exons.
UUAGGUAACUGCAGUUUGAGGCAUUUUGAGAAUGAAAUAGCAAAGGACCAGAAGUUUAAAAUGGAAGAGAGGAAGGAUCUUCUUGACAGCAUCAUGCUUUACCACAGAGGUAAAAUGCUAAAGGAUCACCCCUGUGUUAGUCACCAACAUCACUGACCAUGUAGUUAUUUCAGUAGCAUCCAACAUUCUGUCAUCAGAAGCAACUUCACAGGACAGCAAACACUGAAGUGUGAGAAAAAAGCAAGUCCAGAACAUGUAUCUAUAACUGUAAUUCUAUAGGAUGUGGGUAAAUUGGUAAAGAAAACAUUUUUCUUUUCAUGAAUGAUACUCAAAUUAACUAAAGCUAUUUCAUGCUUGGUUUAAAUGUGUAAGUGGCAUCCAUUCCAUACAACUGGAAUCUUUCUUUUGGGCUUUGCAGUCCUAGCCUGUUUGCAGAGCAACAGGUAUCUAGCAAAACACAGUCAGAAGGACAGAAGACGACUAUAAAAAUAGAGCCUUGUUAAUUUUGUUUCCUCACUUGAAAAUAUAAUUAAUAGUCAAAUCUGAGAAACAGCUACUAGAAAAUUUAUCACUCUGUAGCAAUAAAAGAUAAUCUUCUGUAAAGAAAAGUUGCAGACUGCAUGUCUUGAACAUCUUGUAGACAGCAAACUGAAGACAUUGUUUGAUCUGCAGGCUGGAAUACUAUCUGUCUUUGCUGCAGCUGCUUCUACACAAAGAAAAGAAUAGCAGGUGAACUGUAAAAGUGAAAGCUUUGGUCUAGGAAAAUAAGCUGUAUACUCAAGUGAGUACUAUCCCGGAGUGCUUUGAAUUCUUCACAUCCUCAAAUCAUUCAUAUUGAUUCUAUGACUAAAUAAAGGAAUGGAAAUAUGAUUCUCUCUCUCUUUCUCUCUCCCUCUCUCUCUUUUAAUAAAUUCUCUCUGUUUUCAGUAUAAGUAAAUAUUUGCGCUCAUGGUUUAGGGAUUGGUUGCACUGACAGCUGAAAGCCUCUAUUGAUUUGCAACUCUGGCUUGGUAAAGGAGCCUCUUGCUAAUCUUUCCCACAGUGCCCUUCCAAUACUUUCUCUGCUAACCUGGAAGGACAGCUCUCUCUAGGGCAAGAGGUAAUUAAACUCUCAUGGUGGCUCCUUUCAGAAGAGAUGGCUUAUUUUGUAUUCUCUGCUUAAGAUUUACUGUUGUAGAUACUGAAUAAGAUGAGACUGUUGUACAGCACAGGCAGACUCCACAAAUUUGAUUUGAUGGAAGGCUACUCAGGAGAGAAAGUCUGCCUUUCUGGGACUCCUCAGAGUUUAAAGGCAGCAACAUAAAGCACUUCCAAAUCAGAUCCAUCCUAUUUCCACACACAAAACCUUUUCAACCAGCAAGUGACAAUCUUCCUAUGAAACUUCAUUCUGUCUGGAAAACUACCAGCUGUCUGGGGUGAAGACACACCAGGGCCUUGCAGAGCAGCUUUUCAGAUCUCCCCUCUAGUCUGAAAACAUAGGGAAAAAUAAGCAAAUGUUUUAAAAUGGAUGCUACCACAUUCUUUUCAUAUUCUUCUACCACAGAACAGUCAUAGAGGCCACUACAUAGCUUCAACACCAUGGCAAUAUCCACUGGCUGCUUUCUGAGCCUUAUGAACUUGCAAUAAAAUGUAAGAGAA